Molecule: long non-coding RNA, 2617 nt
Organism: Oncorhynchus gorbuscha (pink salmon)
Lineage: Eukaryota; Metazoa; Chordata; Actinopteri; Salmoniformes; Salmonidae
Exons: 8
Source: RefSeq, a predicted model, not a curated record
UGAAUGGAAAGAGAGGACAGGUCGAGAGCGUGGAUCUGCCGAACAUCAGUAGUCACUCACAGAACCGCAGAAUUGAUUCAUUUCUAAACUUAAUUGGAAUUCCAGGAUGCGGGCUGUACGCAACUGACCUUCAAAUCCUUUUUGGAUUGUGUUGCCAAUACAUUUGACAUUCCAACAAGACCUUGGUGUGCUGGAGAUUUGUUUACCCCAAGACCCAAAUCCUGAUGAUUCUUUGAGUUCCUCUGCAAGCAGCUCCUUAUCAAAAUACAGUGGAGACAAUGAGGGGGACUCCGAUGACACCAUUAUAUUGCAGCAGAUUCCUGCUACAAGAAAGACGGCUGGAGAUAAUCGUCUAUCUCAUGUGAACACAGAGCGCUUUGAGUCUGAGACCAGGGUGAUAUAAACCAUGUGGAGGGAGGCUGGCCCAAGGACGUCAACCCCCAGGAGAUGGAGCAGACUGUCCGCUUCAGGAAGAAAGUGGAGAAAGACAAGCAUUAUUUCAGCACCAUCAUGCAGCUGGGCAGUGCAUGACAGACAUCAGCCAGUCAAGUAGCCACGAUAUGACCUGGGUCAUAGAGAUUUUCAAUUCAAUCCUAUUUUAUUGAAUUAAUCACUAGUGUAUGACAUUAUGCCAUAUCUAAAUAAUACGUCCUAUAGCAGCAUACCACCCUGAAUCCCACUGAUGUCUUUCCUCUGAGGCUACAGUAAACAGGGUUGGUCCUGGUCGGUCCAUAGAUGGGAGACCAGAUGCUGCUGGAUGUGGUGUUGGAGGGCCAGUAGGAGGCACUGUUUUCUCUGAUAACAUUUUUGGGGGGGACAUUGCCCUGUGUAAGUUGCUGUCUUUUGGAUGGAACAUUAAAUGGGUGUCCUGACUCUCUGUGGUCAGUAAGAAUCCCAUGGCACUUAUCGUAAGAGUAUGGGUGUUAACGGGCCCUGAAUCUAGGUUGUCGCUGUAAAUAAGAAUUUGGUUUUAACUGACUUGCCUAGUUAAAUAAAACAUGUAAAAAGCCAUUUCUUAGCUGCUGCAGUAGUGUGAUAGAGAAAAUGACCAGUUCUGAAAGGGAGAGAGCAAGAAGAGUGUUCCUCUCUAUCUCUGAUCACAGCCCUCUGUUCCUCCCGUGUGAACACAGAACAUGGAGCACAGCAUCAAGCAGAACAAUGCCAUCAACAUCUACUGGGAGUACUUUGAAGGGGAGGAGGAGGUGGUGGUGGUGGAGUCAAAACCAUCAAUGUUUUUAAGUGCUUCCAUGACCUCUAUUAACCUAUCGUCCAACAUAGAAUCCACAAAUGAUGUAUAUUACCAGUGUAUUGUGUCCGUCUGAUUGGUUUUUGAUCUUACAGAAACCCGAACCAGAUAAAACACACUGCCACCAGUCUGUCCUGGCAUCCCGAUGGCAGCCGCAAGCUGGCUGUGGCCUACUCCUCAUUGGAGUUCCUGGAAGUCUCUUAAGACAUUAGCUACAACUCUGAUAUAUGGAACAUUGUUAGGUGUAUGACUCAAACAUCUCUUUCAUUUAUAUUUUCCUUUCUAACAGGGAUUAUCAUUGCAAUAGCUGUGGCAGUGAGAUUUACUAAUUUUUCAUCUUAAUUGAUAGUUCAGAAAGUCAGUGGACUACAAAGUAUUAAUUAAUUGAAUCCCCUGUGUUGCCUCUUCAGAGAAUAGCAAUAAGCCAGAAAUGACCCUAAAACCUGUCUCCACUGGUCUGUCUGGAAUACAACCCCCCAAAGACUCUCACAUCCUGGUCGGAGGUAGCUACAAUGGCCAGAUCAGUGGGUCCUUCAACAGCUGUAUCAUGCUUCCUGCCAGCUCAGGAACAAUGUCCUUAGGAGAUUACUGUGCAGUGUAAAGAACUUUGGAGACCUGGUCUCAUGUAACCAAAAGGCCAAGAGCCCACCUGCACGUACAGCGGUCCUCACGGCCCAAUCUACACCCUGCAAAAGAACCCGUUCUUAAGAACUUCCUGACCGUAGCCGAUUGGAAAGCCCAUAUCUGGUCCGAAGACAUCAUGUGGACAAAAUCACAUACAGUCUAUCUGUCAGAAGGCUGAUGGAGUCCAGUACAGCCCUCUGUGUUCUUCACCAUCAAAAUGGACCGAAUACUCGACAUUUGGGACUUCCUCUUCAAACAGAACGACCCCACACUCAGUAUGUGAUGAGGCUCUGUACAGCCAGAAGGUGCAGGAUAAUGGGUGCUUCCUGGCAUGUGGACACCAAGGAGGGCGACGGAGAGGAGAGUACCGAGGAGCUAGUAAUGCACACUUGAAAAAGAGAAGUGGAAGAAAAAAAAGUUAAGGGAUUGAGUGAACAAAACAAACGUUUUCAAAAUUCCUUGACAUGAAUUAUUUUUUUUACAAAUCCAGUCAGUUUUUCACACUGAUCCAAUGUCAUCAUAAUGAUUUCUGUUUUGAAAUGAUGUGUAAAAUGUUGAUUCAACCAGUUUGUGCCCAGUGGGUUAUUAUUAAUCAUUUAUACUCUGUGGUAUGACUGAAUUAGUUGGCUAUUUCAUUAGGAUAACAAGCAACACCACCCUUCAAUAGCAUUCAUCUGGCAAUACAUUCACAUCAGGUGGCCUAUAUACAGUAACAGCAUGAACUCCAAAACGGUGUUCUGUGCACCA